UUCUACAUCCUCUGUUGUGGUGAGUCCUCAUGUUCCGAGGACGUGAUGUCUGAUGUUGGUUUCACGGAAUUGUUUACAUCUGAUAACUGAGUAUGAGUCAGUUGGGGCAUGUCUCAAUGGCUCGCUGGUUUUAUUGAUUUUCUUAGAGGCUUGUCAGACUAGUAUAGAUGUUGGGAGUUGACUAAUAAGUCGUAUUUUGUUAUCUUUCUGAAAUUCUUUUAUUCUUGGAUGAUGAUUACUUUGUUGAUAUUUGAGGAUUAUUUAUGGAAACCCCGUUGAUUUGUGUUGAACUGAAUGAAAAUGGCUCAAAGGGUUAGCUUGGGACUACGUGACGCUCCGGGACCCGUUUUCGGGGCGUUACAAUAUCACCCUCCACCUUGAGGGGGAGUAUUAGCUAUAUUGAAGUACACGUGUUAGAUAUAAAGGGGUAGUCUGGUGAUUAACUACAUAGACAAAGGGUUAUUUUAGUCUUUUACCCUUAAGCUGUUAGAAGUCAGUUACUUGCCUAUAUUAAGGGCAUUAGCUGUGUAAUUGAAGAAUAAGAGCUAAGAGCAAAUUCUCUAGAACUUUCCUUUUCUUCUACAAGAUGUAAACAACUUGUUCAAUGAAAGUUCAUCUAUAUUGUUAGAAAUACAAUUGAUUUUCAGAUUCAUCAUUUCAUUUUAUUAAAAUAGAAUUUCCUUUGAUAGAGAGCACUUUUAGGAUAAACUUAAGUUAAUUGAUUUCAAAAUAACCGUCCUUUUUGUUCUCAUUCCCGCUUAUUUGUACUCCAUGGCUUAUAAGCCUACAGAUGCUUGAGGUGAUGCCAGAUUAGCACUUAUACUUCUUCACACAACUAUAUUCAAUCAAUUGAGUAGAGAAGGCAAUUGAAUCAGUUGUCAUCGCUCUUGUGAUAAACAAGCACAAGGAAGUACUAGUAUAGUAGUAUAUAUUAGUCUUUAGAAGGUGAUCGUUUAAUUCUCUUUCAAUUGAUAUUAUCAAAAUAUGUAGCAGAGAUUGCUGAAAUUGACCGAUGAAAGGAUGACAGUAAAUGAUGAAAUGGAGCACUGCUUCUAUUUCUGAUCCAUAAAGAUAACUACAAUGUACAGAUGUGGCUCCUAUUUUUCAAAAGUAAAAAAUUGGAUAAAACGUGUUUUUGGGUGAGCAUAAAUAUAGAUGAUAAUACAUAUGCCUCCAACUCAAUAGCAAUACUGGUGGCCCCAAAAUUUUAAAAGUAAUGGAGGGUUCCAUGGUUAGUGUUGCUACAAUAACAGAAUAUAAGUGCGCUAUUAUUUUAAGUUACUUCAAUUAGAAGUGAAAAAUAUGUUUAGCAUAUUGAUAAUUGUUUUCGACUAUUUUGCUUUAUAAAAAUGCAAAAAGUAUGAGAAGAUUAAAGCUACCUGACCGUGGGAAUUAAUUCUCAGUGAAGAUUUCGCACUUAAUUAAAUAGUUUAGGGAAAAUGGAAUUCUCCUUAGCAUUGGUAAGCACACUAGAACUGAUCUCUUAUGAUCAUUUGCAAAUAUUCAGAUCUUUUAUGUUUAGAAAAUGAAGAUUUUCUUGUAUGUACAAAUAAAAAUCUUUUAUAAAAAUGAUAUAAAGUUAAAAAUUAUUUGUAAGAAAUUAUAAAAUCAUUGAAUAACGUACGAGCGUAUACUUGUAUGUGAAGUUGGUUUAAAUACUUUAUAAAAAGGUAUAAUAUAAUACUAUCAUGUUCUUUUCAACCCAACUUUUUUUCAAGACACAGUAAACUCAUGUAUUAUUCGAUUCUAGUUCCAGUUUAAAUUACAAUCCUAGCUAGUAAAUUUAGUUACUUGGAUUUUACUUCCUCCAUUUCGGAAUAAGUGAAUUGUUGAGGUAUUUAUUGAUGUUUCAAAAUAAAUGAAUCAUUAAAAUUUUUUUUUGUAAAUUUACUCUUAUGAUUUGAUAACCAAUUAACUUUUGAAGAAGUAUUACAAAAUCAGUUUUUUCACUUUUGGGGUAAAAAUAGUAAAGUAUAUUAAAUUUAUGUUUUUAAUAUUUUUUUACCUUAAUUUAUAUGCCAAAAUUUAAUAAUUUAUUUAUUAUAAAACGGAUUGAGUAUUCUUCAAGUUUGAACUAGUAAGGGCACAGUUGUACCGAAAAGGAAAAAGUCCUUUUUUUUUUUUGGGUCAAACCGGAAAAGGAAAGUCAAGGCUUCUAAAUUGGUUUAAAAGUUUCAGGGAAAGGGCCCCACGUGUCACUUUCAGUGAAAGGACCCACUAAUUUACAAGGCGUUAAAUGUCAGUACGUACUUAAAAAUUAAAAACUAUAAUGGUACAUAAAUUCUAGUACAGUACUAAUUUCUACAAUUAAAGGUCGAAUUCAGUUUGAACUGUAAAUUUAAUUUUAUUUCGAAUUUUAACUGUACUAAUAAAUAUGUAUAAACAAAAUUUCUGAAGCGGCUCCCCUCCAUUAAAUUUUCCCUUCAUUUAUGAGUGAGAAUUUUUCUAUUUAUUUACUACUUCCUUCAUAUUAAAUUAAUUUGACAUGUUUUUUUUUUUUUGCACAAUUCUUAAGAAAAAUUUAAUAAAGAUUGUAACUAAUAUAACCUUAUUUAAUCUUGAUUAGAUAAAUCGUCUUCAAUUAAUAAGGGUACAGUCAAAAAAAUAAUUAAUUAUCUCUUGAAUUUUUAAAUAUAUCAACUAUUUUAAAAUAAUUUUUUUAAUAAACAUGUUAAGUAUGAAAAUAGAGUCAAGAUUAGAUUAAUUUAACAAGUAUCUUAAUCAUAGUUAAAAAGAUUGACUUUGAAAAAAACUCUCAACUUUGAUAAGACUAUGAUAUCUCUCCUUAAAUUUUAAUAUCAACUAAUAUAUUAAUUUUAUUUAUAUCCAAAUAUUAAAAUUACUGAACAUCAACAUUAGUAAAACCUCAACAACAACACCCCCACCCCACCCCACUCCACCCCACCCCACCUACCCACGCCACAACCAUCCAACCCCCUAAAACUAAAGCUUUUUUAGAAGGAAAACCCUCAAUCUCUUUCUUAUUUUUAAUCAACAAUUCUUAGUAAUUCUUAAUUUUCAAUUUUAAAAAGUUCUCAUUGGGAUUUAGGGUUACUUUUCUUUGUACUUUAAACUUAUCUAUUUUCACACACAAACUUUUUUCUUUGUUCUUUAAACUUAUCUAUUUUCACACACAAACUUUUUUCUUUGUUCUUUAAACUUAUCUAUUUUCACACACAAACUUUUUUCUUUGUUCUUUAAACUUAUCUAUUUUCACACACAAACUUUCAUAUUACUGUGCCAAUAUGUUAGGGUUUUUGUCCUGAUUUUCUUAUUAUAUUUAAAUUUUAUAAAAGUUACCAUAAUUACUUUUACUUUUCCCGAAAGAAAAAAUAUAAUUAUUUUUCAUAUUUGGCUAACUUCUUUCUUGGAGAAAAGUUUUUGAACAUCUAUAAAUAGAAAACCCCCUUCUCAUACCAUAAUACAAUAACAUCCACAAUGUAGUUUUUAAAGAGUCUUUGUUUAGGGGGUGAUUUCUCUCAAUAAGUUUUAGAAUUUUCAAUUUUAUUUUUAAUAUGUAGGCCGUUUGGUCAAACCAUAUCUAAUAAUAUAUUUUUAGUUUAAUUUUUCAUGUGUUGUGUGAUUUAUCGUCUUAUGAUUUGCAAACUAAAAGCUUCCGCAUGACGUUCUCUCGAUUUCGAACCCACCACAAUAUUCAUUAGAUUUAGACAUAUAAAAAUAGAAACAGAAGUAAAACUUCAAUUUUUCAAUUGGGGGUGAUGUGGGGUGGGUGAAAAAUUACUAGUGUUUAUAUUCAACUAUAUUAUUGGUAUUUAGAAAUCAGAUGCGCAGAUAGUUGCUGUUUGGAGGUAACAAAAUUUACAAAUUGGAGUUACGAAUGAUUUAGAGAUAGCUUUCUCUUACGAAAUUAAGAGAAUUUUCCAAAAUAUAUAUGAUUAUCAUGCUUAUUAAAGAAAUGUAAUCUAAACUCUAAAUAAAUAAAUUCGGACAAGUAUCACUCAUCCAACUAGAAAAGAAAAUGUAAUGAUAAAGAGACAAAUGUAGUAAUUUCGAGUUCCAGUCAACAUAUAGGAUCAUGCAAGAUCGUCUGUAAUAAUGGGGCAGAAGUUACGGACUUUCCAUUAAAGUUGCAAUGUCUGGAAGAGUCACUACACAAACCCAGCAAUCCCAUGUUAUUUUUAUGGAUCCAAAGACUUGAUGUCCUCUCGUAAUAAAGUAGAAAAGGAAAAUAAGACACAAGUUGUUUUAGUAUUUAAUUCUUUGAAAAUUCAGCAUCAUACUCAUCAUUUUUCUGAACCUUUCUUUAUCUACGCUGAUGAACUGUGUGCAUUUGCUUCUUUUAAAAGGACAAUCGGAGUUGUGUCAGAUAAUAUAUGUAGCAGUGACUAGUAAGAUUCAAUCUCGAGACCUUUAUCUGCUUUGAUUAAAUAUAAGUUAAAGCAUGUGAACUUUUCAUCUAAAAAGCUCAAGUUAUUAAUUAGAAAGUAUUUUCAACAGUAUGCGUGUUGGUGCAUUAUUAUUACACCAACAGUAUGUGCCCAUUUUGCACUCUAGUGACUCAUAAAAUUUCACAUCUAAAACUAUUUGAUGUCUCGUGAGAUGUAUCCAGUUACUAAUUUCAUAUUCAAUGUACAUCAGCUUAGAAACUUUCCUAUAUAUACUAAUCGACUUUUGAGGGGACUGCAUGUCUUGCGCGUUAACUGAUUUAAGAGAAUUUUCUUUUUGAUGUUUUACUAGGUAUCAUAAGCUUAAGCAAUAUGAAAAUCCCAAAUAAAUUAAAGGUAUGUUUGGUACGGACGAAAAUAUUUUUUUAAAAAAAAAUUCACGUUCGGUAAGUCAUAAGUAAUAUUUAAAAAUAAGUUUCCUAAAAAUGAAGAAUACGACUUCUAUAGUAGAAAUAGGAAAAAUAAAUUUCACAAGUGAUAUUCCACAUUUUAUUACGUACUCACAAUCUUCAACACAUCUCAUCUUCAUUUUGUCCCCCAUCCAUGAUAUUUGCGUAAUUAUACAAUAAUAUUUUUAUUUACGUAAUGAACACAAAAAAAUAAAUUAAAAUACUUUUUAAGAUGAUUUUUCUAGAAAACAUUUUCAUGAAAAGAAAGCCUCCUACCAAACACACCACAAAGAUUUCGAAUUCAAAUUUUUUUAAAAGAUUUAAAAAAAUAAAAACAAAAAAUAGACUCAUUUAGACAGCGCUGCACCGCCAUUUUGUUUGGAUUGAAUUUGAAGUGGAAAGAAAUUUGAGAUAAUGGCUACUAAGACGACCCUCGUUCGAGUGAGCCCUCUGCUUGUGGAAAAUAAGAAGAAGAAAACAAAAUGAUAAAAUUGUGUUUCAUGGACACCAGGUAAUAUUGACUCCGUCAAUGGAUAUGACAUUGUUUCAUUAGGCAUACAAUUUUAAAAAUAAAUAAAUUCUUAUUUUAAAUUUAUAACUUAGAAUAAAUCAUAAGUAUUUAUAUGGCAAUAGAUUAUUUCAUUAAGAUAAAAUGAAAAACUUAAAAUAAUAAGAUUUUUUAAAUAAAAAAAAAAAAACGAUAUACUUUUUGAGAUUGAUUUAAAAAAUAUAUAUACUCCAUGAUGAAUUUUUAUUUUUUCUGGAAGAGAGUUUUAUAAUGAUUAGGCCAAUGCUAGUUCCCUCACAAAAAUAGUCAAGCUCAAGAUGUGCCAUUUAUAUUUUGUUUGGUUUCGCCCCCGACAGCAAAAUGGUGAUAGAGAUUUAGGCUGCAUUUGUUUUCUUUUAAGAUUGUGAAUCUGAAUGCACAUCUCAAUGAUUAAGAUAUUGUCUCUAGAUUUAAAAACUGAAUGAUUAAGAUUGUUUAUUUUUCAAUAUCUGAAUGUGAAAAAAGUUUUUAUUUAUAUAUAUAAUAAAAUAAAAAAUACAAUUCAAGUAAAAAACUAACUAUAUAUCAGAAAAGUAUGUAAUUUAAUACAACAAAAUUAUUAUUUAAUUGAAAAAAAUAUUUAUGUUUGUUAGUAAUAGUGGAGAUGGUUUAUAAUAGUGGUUGCGGUGACAAUGAUUGAUGUUAGUGAUUAGUAAUGUUGGUGGUGAUAGUUGUGAUGACUGGUAUUGUAUUGACUAUUAUGAUGAUGGCGCUUGAUAGUGGUGGUGGUGGUUGUGAUGUGACAUUUCUUGAUGUUAGUAGUUAGAGGUGUCGAUUGUGAUGACUGACAAAUGAAUGCAUGAUGAUUGACGAUGUGUUGGUGCUAGUUGGAGAUGUUGUUAGUUGUGAUAGUGGAGAUGGUUGUUAGUAGAGAUAAAUUGUAGCGAUGACAGUGGUUGAAGUGAUGGUAGAGGUGGCGUUACUAGUAAUAAUGGUAGUGGCGGCCGAAGAAUGUGUGGAGGUUGUGAUGUAUUAGUGGUAGUUAGUGGUGGUACUAGUUGUGAUAGAUGAGUUGGUCGAUAGUAUGGAUUGGUCGGUAAUGGUUGAUGAUGGUGGUGUUGUCGACGAUGUUGAUGGCGGUGAAUAGAAUUAGAAUAAUAGAGGUAGUAAGUGUGGUAGCGGUUGACAAUAGUGGUUGAUAGCGAUAUUUGUUAUCGAUAGUGGAGGUGGUUGGUGGUGGGUAGGUGGUGAUUGACAAUGGUUGCAGUGGAAGAGGUGGUUAGUGAUAGUGACUGAUGAUUAUAAAUAGACUGACGGUGAAUAUUAUCCAACACGAGAUUACCUUUUCAGACCUAUUAAGACUUGAUUCUAGAUCUGAAUGAUUAAGACUUAUUAAGAGCUAAAAUCUUAAUAAAAAACAAAUGCACUUAAUGGUCUGAAGUCUGAACCGUUCAAAUUUAGACCUCCAUUAAGUGCAAAUAAAUGAGCCCUUAGAAUUAGAUAACCUUUAAUCUUUUUGGUGAUAUAAUGAUUAUGAAAGAAAUUUAUGACACGUACUAGCUUAUUUUAUAGUCUUGUGUUAAGAGUUCAUAUUUUUCCCACAUGGUAUUAUUAGUAUAAAUAAUUCUUUUAAUUCCUAGAAAACCUAUAAUCUUUGUCACAAUUUUUAUUUUUCGGAGGAGCAUUUUGUGGUAAUAUGCUUAUUGUGUAAUAACUUGCAAAUUAUACAGAAGAUGUAAAUUACAUUAGGCAAACCCAACGCAACGAGUUCACAGGUAAGCGACAGAUGGAGGUUGAAUUCAAUCCCUGAUUUCCAAUAUGAGAAACUCACCUCUCAACCGCUUAAUUAUGUCCUAACAGACAAUAGAUAAAUUUUGAUAAGUUCGUUAUUACAACUUUUUUUUUUCUAAAUCAUUAUCAAUUUUAUAGGUGUGGAGUGUGAACUAAUUAUCCCUAUCAAAGAUCUAAUUUAUGGAGCUCAAACACACACACACUCCCUUUUCUACCACUUUUUCCUUAUCUCCUAUUCUUCUUUGAAUUAGUCUUUCAACUAUAUAAAUAUAAUUUCUUUCCUUUUUUUGGAUUGUUAGAUAGCAUUAAAAAAUUAAAAUACGUCUGCUACAACCCUGCUUUCUUUUUUUCAUAUCCCUUCUUGUCUUUUCACUUUCCUCUUUCUCUUUGACAUAAUAGAGUUAAUCAACAAAAUCAAGCUCUUUUUCUAUUGAGUAAUAUCUCUAAUAUAUACUUUUUAUUUUAAUUAAUUAAAAAUAAAAUAAAAUAAAAUUAAAGCCUUUUAUAUUGAUUUUUAAAUUUAUUUUGCUAUUUAAAUAAUGCUAAUUGUGAAAUAAAUCUUGUUAAAAAAAUUAACACUCAAUGUACUUUUCAGAAAGGUUGUCAAACACGAUCUACUUAAUAAAUAUUGAAGAAAAUAUUUUUUUUUUCACCUGAAUUUGUGAAAUAAAAUUAUCACCUUUGAAAAUUAAUAAAGUUAUUUCAAAAAAAAUAUAUUUUUCAAUGUAAGCAGUUUUCAGAAAGUUUUGACUAAACACUCUUAAAGUUUAUUGAGCCAUUAGUUCUUAUUCCCACACAGUAAAAUUAGCUCCCAUUUGAUAUUCACAGCAAACUAUACUAUUAUUUCAUUAUAUAUGCUUAUGUCAAGAUUAAGAUUAAAAUAUGUAUUAAUUAAUUGUAUAUAUGAUUUAGGAAUGUUGUCUUUGCAGCCUCAGUAUAAUUAAUCACCGCCCCAAGAUUGUCAAUUGUUUUCCUCGUUUAUUUAAUUAUUUAUGUUUUCACUGAUCAAAUGCAAAAUAAGUGUUUAGUGCAUGAUAAAGUACUUAGACCUGUUACCUACAAUUUUUUAGACCAUCACAUAGAAGUUGGUGGUUUAUUAGUAUAAUAUUUUGCCAUGUGAAAGUGUUCCAUCAUUCAAUUACUUUUUUGAAAACUUUAGAAAAAAUCAUAGUUGUUAUUUUCUUGAGUGGGCACUGUUAGAAACACAUAACAAGAACGAUUAAAUCAUUAGAAAUUUGACAUAAUCGUAAAACAGGAAGUAUACUAUAAUGCUACUCAUAUAUGAGAAAAGUUAAAUAAAUGCAGGUUAAUUAAGACUACCACACACAGAGUGACAGAGAGGAACUUGAGUAUAGUAAAAUUUCUAGAACAUUUCUAUGAUCGAUGGUUAGGUAAAGUUGUGUGGUUUAUAUAUAUAUAUAUAUAGCUCUCUUCUGUAAUAGACUUAAAUAAUAUUUGAGUGAUUUGUAGUUAAUUAUCAUUGAUACUUGAGAUAUUGCAUCUCUUGACUUUCAACCUUGUGCUUGCCUCUAUCUAGAAAUAGUCUUGAACAUUAGUUGUAUCUUUGUUUUGAUUCAUCAUUAAAGAUUAAAAGAAAGAAAAACAUAGCACCCUAAUUUUGAAUGGUGCAUCUUAGAUGGUAAGUUACCGAAUUCAGACUUUUUGUUGAAGUAAGGUGUGAUCUAAUGAUCAAUAAAGUGAGUAGAUUACAAUUCUUUCAUCUGCAUGUUAAAAUUCAAUAAAAUUAAUCGAGAUACGUCUAAAACAAGGAUCGUAUAAUUAGAGGAAGACGGUCACAUUUGUUGAUUAGUACUUAUAAUUUCUAGUUAGUCGUUGGUCGUUAGCCAACCAAUAAAGCUCUUAAAUUAUGAGAUGGACGAGUCAAUUAGUCUAUGCUCCAGCAUACAGGCCAAACACAAAAGAGACCAUGUCCCCUUAACUUUCAUUUUUUUUCAAUGACAAUUUCUACACAAAGUCAAAUAACAUCGUCUAUUUUAGACUAUAACUUGAAUCUCAGUACUGAAAAUACGAAUUCUUAUUAAUGGUUGAUCAUAUUCAAUUCAAGACAAACAUGCAUUAUUAUAUAGCACUAGACAUCAAAUUUCUCUAAAAUAAGUAUUGAACAUUCUAUAUAGUAGUUGUUGUGUUGAAGAAUUUCUUUUUUAUAUAAAAGAAAAAUAGAAAUAUUGUCAGUUAUUUAAAUUUCAUUUAGACAUUCGAAAUUGAGACAUAUUUUGAAAAAUAAAGUGAACAAUGUUUCUAUUAGACACUUUUGACUCAAACUUUGUAAAAAAAACUUUUGCGUGUCUUUUCAAGAGCCAAUAUAAAUAAGUUAACCACUUAAAAUAUGUUACAUUCUUUAAUUACACUCAUUUAUCUAAUUAAAUCAUAAAAUUUCAUGCAUGUUUCAAUUAAAAGCUAAAGUGUAAUUAAAGGAUGAGACAUUUUCUCUGUGUUUCAUUUAUUUACAUCAUAGAAACUCGUGAACACACAUAAAAACUUUUUUAAAAUAUAAGAAAUAUGUAAUAUAGUAGUAGGAACAUUCAAUCAUAUUUGAGAUUCUCAAUUAGAACAUUAAUCCAUAAUUCGAGUGCCUUACCAAAAUUUGUGCAUUAAUAAAUUUAAAGGAUUAUCGAUGCUUUCUGUUUUAUUUAUGCUACAACUAAUCGAUGAGGUGGGCAUAGUAAAUCAUGCAGUGACGUAUACUAAAUGACGUCUACCAUAGUAAGAGUAAUCACAAAUUAUACGAAAGUUGUAUCUUAUGGACUAUUUAAUUUAAUAUUUGCUGAUUAAUUAAUUAAAACGUUGUGAUAAGUCCAGCUUAGCUAGCAUCUACUAGGAUAAUAGGUACUUGGUGUAUAUCUUGAUUGCAAUCCCUAGUGAAGAUUCACACACAAACUCGAUAUGUUGGAUAAUCGAUUUAGAAACAAUAUUAUAAAAUACUCACUUUUGGUUUAUAGGUUUGAAAAUGCAAAUUGACUAUUAUUAUAUUAACAAGAAAAAUGACAAGCAAAUGAGGACUAAUGGAACAAACAUUUAUUUAGUCUAAAAUGAAGUUUCAAUAACCUUAGUUGGGGAUACUGGUCAUCUAGAAAGCUGAUAUUUAUCUCCCUUUUUGUCAUCAAUUUUGAAUUUCAAAUGAGAUAAUUAUUUAAUCUUGAUGUGAAAUGUUGAAAUAUUAACAUGCAGUCCUAAAUGCGCAAAUAUAUUUCAAGUGAAGUUUUUAAGAUUUUAGUAAAAGGCUGAUUAAGAAUUUUUUAAUAAGUAUUUUUUUUAGUCGAAGUUCCCAGAUUUCCUAGAUAUAUAGGCCAAAGGAAAAUAGAGGUGUUUUAUGCCUGACCUCUAUAUUACAAAACUUUUUUUCAUUAAUCAUAUUAUUUGAUCUAUUAUAUUCAAAAAUUUAAUAUUUGUAAGAUAAUUAUUUUUAAGAAAGAAAAAAAAAACUAACUUGAUUUUCCACUAUAUUGUCUUUUUCUUAAUAGAAAACUAGUUCAAAGAUAUUAAUCAAAGUAUUAUCGGCUUUAGAUUUCUAUCAAUUUGGACUUAAAAUCGUUUAGAGUCCAGGCAAAGAAAUGGAAGAAGCCCAAAAAGAACUAGUGAUUUUGAUCUUCAACUAGGGACAAGGACUGAAAUGGUCAUUCGAGUGAAACUAUUGACACAGGAUGAUCCAAGAAGCUUAAAAGACAUUUUUUAGCUCUUUUUUAAAAAAAUAAAAAAAUCAUUUACUAUUUUUUUUUUCGAGCUACUUUCCAACAUAUGUAUCAUUAUUGUAUACAAAAUGUCUCUCUAUUGUAUAUAUAUGACAAAUGUAUCAUAUCCAUAUCAAUAUUGUAUCACUACUGUAUAAAACGAUUUUCAGCAUAUGUAUAGAAAUUCUAUCACUACUAUAUAUGCAUAGGAAGUGUAUUACAUGUAGAAAAAAUAUAACAUUGUUUAUGUAUUCCUUUGUAAAUAAAAAAAUGUACCAUUGCUAUACAAUUUUAUGUAUAAUGUGUGUGUGUAUAUAUAUAUAUAAAUACUCACUAAUUAUACAUAUAUUAUACAAUUAUUAUACACAUGAUACACAUUUUAAAGAUAUUACUUGAAGACAACAUCAGAGAUCGAAAUCUUCAUCGUCCAUGAAACCACCACACAUAUUUCACCAAGAAAUAUCCAUAGUUUUCUUUACCUAUAAACAUCAUUUAAAGCUCCAUAGAAAAAAAUAAAUAACUAUCUCAAACACCCAUUAACAUAUCCUGGCUCCUUCACCGCUAUUUUUCACCAUUAAAAUGGGGCCAUGGUUGUUGUUGAACCAGCUAUAUAUGUAACUAGCAGCAAAUCAACACCUAAAAUAAUAUCUAAACUUGGAUUGUUUCACCCAAAGAAAACACUAUUAAAACACUUUGAAUUGCACUAUCGCGUCAUCAUUAUUAAGCUAACGAUAUCCGAUUGGCUACAAAGUGGGAAUGAAAUAGACCUAAGAAACGUUGGUUCAAUAUAUCAAACUUGGGCCGUUUUAUUGUUAUGGGCCACCUGGUGUCUUUUUCCAUAAGGAACAACAAAUGUUCAUGGUAACUUACAUAAAUUCUUGAAUCUUUAAGUGAUAUUACAUAAAAUCGCGAUUAUUUUAUUAAUUAUAUUUUAUUUCAAUUUUUGAAAUGGUGAUACAUAUGUUAUACGGUGAUACAUAUAAAAAAUUGAUACAUUUGAAAAUGACAAAGAUAUUUAUUUAAGGAAAUAAUAGAAUCUUUUUUAUUUUGUGGAGCAAAUCACGCAUAAUCAGUUAUAUAAUGAAUUAAUCGAUUCAAAAAAAAAUUCAAUACCCUAAUUUCUGCCAAUUCCAAUUCAAUCCAAUAUGAUCUCAUCCACUUUCUCUACUGCCCCACUUUCCAUGGCGUCCAGCUCCACUUUCACUUCUCCGCCGUCGGGGACGGUAGAGAAAGACAAAGAGAUGCUUUGGCGUGAAAUCGAUGAGUGUUGAGAAUCGAAAGUUACAAUGUGCAGUGUUUUGUGCUUUUUUGAAGGUACGUGGAAUGGAGGAAAUGAUUGAAGAUAACAAUGAAUUGAAUUCAAGUACAGUUGUUGCUGCUGCCGCCGCAAUAGCAGUUAAUGCUUCUGAGAACAAAAUGCAUCACUCAUUAAUAACAUAUGAAACUCCCAAUAAUUGAAAUAAAUAAUUGUAUCUACCAUAUGAAUCACCAUAAUACCAUAUAUUUCACCCAUUAAUAUCAUAUGAAUCACCCAAUAAUUAAAAGAGAGAAUACAUAAUUACCCCCUGAUCUUGUCCGAGUUUUGCAAAAAGACACCUAAACUUUAACUUCGACCUAUUACCCCACGAUUCUUUUUUAUUUCAUUGCAAACACACCAUUUUUCACUGAAUCUCAGUCACAACAAGAAGAGUGAAAUACACGCGUCAAUCAGGUGUUGCCACGUGUCAGAUACGUUUAAUUGCAUUUUUUUUUAUUUUUUAAUAUAAUUUUUCUUUUUAUUUAAUUUAAACACCCCACCCCACCCCCUCUUCCCUCCCAAAUCCAGCACCUUCCCCUCCCCUCUCCACGUCCAGCACUCUCCCUGUCCAGUUUUUUUUUUUUAUUCAAAUCAAUUCAAAAAUUAGUUUUAUGAUUGGAUUGAAUUUUAAGGAUAGUUAAAUGAUUGAAUUGAGAUUUAAAGAUAGUUAAAUGAGCUUUAAUGGAGGAGCUUUAAAAAAAAAACUUCAAUGAAAGAGCUUUAAUGGUGACAUUGUGUUGAAGAGCUUUAAUGGUGUUGAGGAAGAUAUUGUGUUGAAGAAGAAAUGGUGGGUAGUUAAAUGAUAUGAUUUAAUUGUAAAAUAGAGUUUUAAUGAUAUGAUUUAAAAAGAAAAAAGAAAAAAACUUCAAUGGAGGAUCUUUAAUGGUGGCAUUGUGUUGAAGAAGAAAGGGUGGGGUUAUGGUGAUGAUGAUGAUGUUGUUGUUGUGACUGUAAUUGAUGUUGUUGUGGUUGUAAUUGAUGUUGUUGAGUGAUAGUGAUGAAGAAGAAGUUGGGGAAGAAGACAAUGGUGGAUGGGGGGNNNNNNNNNNGGUGGGGGGGUAUGAAAUAAUUUUAAAAAAUAAAUAAAUAUUAUUUUUUUAAAAAAAGAAUAUAAAUUAUAUAUUAAAUUAUUUUACACGUGGCAACUUUUAAUUGGUCAAAAAAGUCAAAUUUGAGCCCUUUCACGCGCCUGUGGCGCGUGUAUACACGCAGGGGGCCAAAAUGGUGUGUUUGCAACGAAAUAAAGAAGAAUCGUGGGGUAAUAGGUCAAAGUUAAAGUUUAGGUGGCUUUUUGCAAAACUCAGACAAGAUCAGGGGGUAAUUAUGUAUUUUCUCUAAUCAAAAUAAAUAAUUGUAUCAACCAUAUGAAUCACCAUAAUAUAAUAGGUAUCACCCAUUAAUAUCAUAUGUAUCACUCGUUAAAAUCAUACAAAAUGUAUCUAUCGUAUGAAUACCAUAAUACUCAUUUAAUGAUAUCAUAUUUAUCAUCCAUAUGAAUCACCAUUAAAAGAAUAAACAUGUAUGAAUAACUAAAUAAAUUUAUAUAUGUAUCAAUAGAUUUUUUAGAAAAAAUGGGAGAUAUUUUAGGAGAGGAAAAAAAAAAGUUGCAUGCUUUAAUGGAGGAAAAAAGAUCAGACAGGAAGAUGAUUUAAGCGUUAAUGGAGGAGAAAAAAUCAGGAAGGAAGAUGGCUUAAUUGUUGAUAAUUGGAGAGAUAUUUUAGGGAAUGAAUUUUUGAAAAAAAAUAGCUUGAAUGAGUUAAUGGUGGAGUAAAAAUAGGAUGUGGGGUUUUGUUGAUAUGUAUCGAGAGUAAAGUUGAAAAUCAACAUUUUAUGUAAAUUUUUAAAAAGUAACGGAUAUUAAAUAGUAUAAAUAACAUAAAUACCAACCCUUUGGAAAGUAAUUACACCCUCUCCCACUUUUUUAAUUACUUCAUUCUCUCUACCUAUUAAUAUACAUAACAUAGCCGACAUAUACAUAACAUUCUGUGUAUAUGUUGGGAUUUUUGUAAUAUGUUUAGGGAGUUGAAAUUUUUUGUAAUAUUGAAAAUAUAAGUUGUGUAUUUGUGUAAUUUUUAGUAAGUAAUAUAGUCUCUUAAGUUUGGGAUAUGAGUUUAGGCCUUUGUCCAAUGAAGUGGGCUGCUUUUCGCCAGCAUUUACUGGCUUAUAUUACUAGUAAGAGGGCCAUUAAUUUGAAGUGCAAACAACAUAAAUCCCCUAGACAAUGAAAAUAAUUACACAAAAUUCCUUUUUGUUUUCUCUCUCCCCUUUUUUGCAAACAUACUUAUACGUUCGGUCACAUAUUAUACAUUGGUCGAAUGUAUGAUGUAACAGCUAAUCCUAUAUUAAAGGUAAGAGAUUCUAUAAUUAUUUUACAGUUCCUUAAUUAAAGGUAGUAAUUAGCCAACAUUUAGUCAUUUAUUGAUAGAACAUAUAACUGAUAUUUGAAUUUAAAAAUUUUGUUAUACAUAAUUUUUUUUCCCUAUGAUUCACAAUCUGAAAAGCCAAAAAACCGCCACUUUCUUCUACAUCCGUUGUCCAAAACUUCUAAAAUCUUCUUUUACAUACGUUCUUCAAUACUAGUAAAAUCAAUAUGAAUAUCCCCAUAUUGUUGCGACAUUCUGAAAUUUGGGAGUCAGAAAUUAGUUAUACGUCAUACAAAAGUGACACAAUAGUAAUUUCGGUAAAUGCAGACGAGUCGAUCACACCCUCAGGACUUGCGGUUUCUUUCCAAAGGAAUCAUGAAGAAUAUAAUAUGGUUUUCUAUGUGCGGAUACUUUGAAUGGUUUCGAUUGUAUAAAUAUUUUUUAUUAGUUUUUUUUUUGGAAUGCCGGAGCAAGUAAUUUAUAUUUUUUUAUUGAUUAUAGAUGCUAAUUUCUUUAAUCAAUGAUUUAUAUUAGUAUAAAAAUUUUAAGCUUUUUCCCUAUAUCAUAGUUCGUAACCACAUAACUUGAAGUUAGAAUACUAUUAUAAAAGCACAUUAACUAUGUAACUUACUCUCUACAGGAGUAAGUAAUUGUUGAAACGCACGGUGUAUUAAACUGUUGUACAUUAAUAGUUAAUGUGUAAUAAAUGUAUGAUAUAGCAUUAUACAUUUUUAACAUGUAUGAGGUUAGAAAUACAAUAACGAAAUUUAACUGAAUUCAAUUUUAAAAAAAAAAUUAUACACAGUAUCAUUCCAGUAAAUUUACGAAUGUAUAAUAUGUUUUUAUACAGUCAAAUCAAUAUAAUAAAUGUGUGCCUUUUCAGUAAACGUUUGAAUGUAUAAUAAGUUGUUAUACAUUCAAAGCAACGUAUAGUGAUACUGUGCUAUUCCAGUAGACUAACGAAUGUAUAAUAUUUGAUUAUACAUUUGUAUCAAUAUAUGAUAUAGCAUCAUACAUUAUAAAUAUGCAUGGUAUUAACAAUUUCUGUAAUUUUUUACAAGAAAUAAACAUUUUACAACAUGUAUGUUGUUAUGUAAUACAUACGUUUAAAACGUAUUAGUCUUUAGUUCAAUGUAAGACUCACUUAUAAGCAAAGAUACAUAACAGGAAACAUACUAUGUGUUCAAAAUACAAUGUCAGAUUAAUUAGUAAUAUGUUGUUUUAAUCAUUAAUAAAAUAAGUGAAAGGGAAAUUCAAUAAGUACCAUGAAUCAGUUAGUAACAUUGCAGUAGUGUCUCAGUGACUAAAAAGCAUAUUCUCAUAAGAUGACAUCCAUAAAUGUAAAUUAACAUCCAGAAAGUAAUCUUUGAAUUCAUUUAACAUCAACCACAAAACUAAGAUUUAGUUGAUUCAAUUUCGACUUUUAUUAAACAAUGCUAUUCUAAAAUAACAAUUGCACUUUCAUCAAUUUGUUGGAGCACACUAUUCCUUGGCCGAGGAGGAUCACCAUUAUCACUCGUGUACCCUUCAUUUGCCUUUUCUACUCCGUAAUGCCACAGUAAUGAAGUAUAGCGUACAUGUUGACUUCCAACAUCAAACACACAUGAAUGCACUUACUGCCCUUCACUUUAUAUUUCUGCAUAAGCAGCAACAAAGACGACACCGUCCCUAAUUUAAAAAAAAUAAAAAUGAAGUAACAGUAAGUACAUUAAUUUAAACAUAGUUAUACAUUAUAAAAAAAAUUGUAAUUUACUUAAAAACUUUCAGAUGUUUGCUGGGGUAUGUUUUGAACAAAUUCAACAUCAAAUGCGUUUUGAUUGACAUGUAUGAUGGUAGCUUAUACAUUUAAUGUAAUAUCGGAUAUACUUAUACAUCUCAAAUGUAAUAUCGAAUAUACUUAAACUACAGGCAGACAUGUAUGAUGGUAGCUUAUACAUUUUUAAAAAAUCUUCUUUAAUGAAUAAUGUCAACUUAUACAAUAAUCUUUUAAAAUACCUCUUUUAUGUACAUCUUCUUAUUGUAUAAUAUAAUGAAAUAUAAAGCAGAAAACUAAUAUUAUACAUUAGUUUAAAAAAUAAAGUAAUGUAUAAUCAAAUAAUAUAAACGUGUAAUAUCAAAUAUGCCAGGAACAAAACCAACAAACAUAUUUUGGUCUUGAGCAUCUAAAUGACUAAGUCCUAAACUAAAGCUAGGAUGAGAAUCCAUUACCAAAUUUAUACUAUAUUAAUUAAGCAAUCUCAACUAUAAACAAGAAAUUCAAAGAUCUGACUUAUAUUAUAUGAAAAAAAAAUUAGAAAAAAUCAACUAACAAACUAGAAUGAGAUUGCAAUAUAAGUUAAUUUCAUAAAAAUCAACAUGCAACCAAACAAGAAUCCGAAUAAGAACCCACAACUUUAAAACAAAAAACAAAGAUCUGACUUUUAAUAAAUGGAAAAAGAUGAUAUUAUCAAACUAUCACACUGAAAUGAAUUUGCAAAAGCAAUUAAUUUCAUAAAAAACAAAAAUGCAAUCAAAAAUCGACCCAAAUUGUGAUUUGGUAAAGUUGAAAAAAAACUAAAAAUUAUUGAAAAAAAUCAGUAUAUAAGUUCAAUAAAUGUUUGAUAACUUACAAAUUGGUAAUCUCUAAGUAUACGAUUGCUUGAAUUUGAGCGUGAAAAAAGGUAUUCAAUAAUGGAGGAACAAUCGGUUGUUUAAUGAAAGAAAAAAAUGAAGCAAAUAUGAAAAAGAGAGAGAAAGUAAAUGAGAAAGAGAGAGAAAGUAAAUGGGAAAAAGAGAGAAAGUAAAGAAUUGUUUAAUGGGAGAAAAAUGGAGUAAAUAUGAAAAAAAGAGAUAAAGUAAUGAUAAAGAAUCUUUUUGUUUUUUUAUGUAUAAGAGGAAUGAGAGAGAAAGUAAAAAAAUAGGGAAUUUUAGUAAUAAGUUUGGAAUUUAUGUAAUUAGUUUGUUAAUAUGGGAUGUGUUGUAAUAAGAUAAAUUUAGUUUGUGUAUAUAUGUAAUUUGUAGUAAUUUGAAUUCCAUAACCAUUUUCGUGUAAUUAAUUUAGGCCAAGUGGCCAUUUCUAUACUUUCCCCUUAAUCAUGAUUGGACAUUUAGGUUCUAGCCUCAUAAAUGCAGGCGAAUCGCAUGGAUAGCCAGGUCUUCAUUUAAGCUAUACCUGUAGUAUAUAAAUUUUCUAAGUUUAGCUAUUUCGAAAUCAAUUUCAAACAUUCACAACUAUGGGGUCGUUUGGUAGAGUGUAUAGAAAUAAUGCAAAAGAUGGUGUGUUAGUAAUGCUUGUGUUAGCUAUGCUCGCAUUAGUUAUGCUUGUAUUUUUCUUAUGCAGUGUUUGGUUUCAUAUAUUAAAAAUAAGGAAAAGGGUCAAAUAUACCCCUUAACUUUGCAAAAAGGAUCAAAUAUAUAUCCUCCGUUACAAGUUUGGUCCAAAUAUGCCCUCGCUGUUAAAGUUUAGGAGCAAAUAUGCCCCUAAACUUUGCGAAAAGGUCCAAAUAUACCCUCUGUUAUAAGUUUGGACCAAAUAUGCCCUCGCUGUUAAAGUUUAUGAGCAAAUAUACCCCUUAACUUUGCGAAAAGGUCCAAAUAUCCCCUCCGUUACAACCUAUAACCCGACCCACCAAUUUAGACCAACCCAUAACCCGAACCAAAUUUUGUUUAUCAAAAUUUCAAUCUUAUAAUGUUAUCGAAAUAUUUCAUCAGUUCAAUGACUCUUCAAAUAUUAUGUUAAUGUUGCAUUUUUCUUAUUAUCAGUAUGUUCUACUUCAAACAUUGUGUUGAUAUUGCAUUUUUCAAACUUUGGUUUGUUUUCAUGUUGUUUGGUUUUAUCACGAAGGACUCUAAUCUACUGAAAUAUUUCAAAAUGCAACAUUUAAUAAGAAAUAUUAACACAAUAUUUGAAAUAGAACACAUUGGUAAUAAGAAAAAUGCAACAUUAACAUAAUAUUUGAAGAAUCAUUGAACUGAUGAAAUAUUUCGAUAAUAUUAUAAGAUUGAAAUUUUGAUAAACAAAACUUGGGUCGGGUUAUGGGUUGGUCCAUAUUGGUGGGUCGGGGUAUGGGUUGUAACGGAGGGUAUAUUUGGACCUUUUCGCAAAGUUAAGGGGUAUAUUUGUUCCUAAACUUUAACAACGAGGGCAUAUUUGGGCCAAACUUGUAACGGAGGGUAUAGUUGGACCUUUUCGCAAAGUUUAGGAAUAUAUUUGCUCCUAAACUUUAACAGUGAGGGCAUAUUUGGACCAAACUUGUAACGGAGGGUAUAUUUGGACUUUUUCGCAAAGUUAAGGGGUAUAUUUGACCAUUCUCCCUUAAAUAACACAUGAAUUAAAUAAUUUCUUAAUUUUUUAUUUUUUUUUACAAAAAUAUCCUCCAUAUAUAUGUUGGAAAAGAUGUGAAAUUUUUUUUGAGGGAUAAUAGUGUCUUUAAUCAUGUUAAUGCAUGUACUGGAUCCAUUGCGUUGCUAAUACCAUGAAUUUUGAGGUAUUAGUAAUACACACCUUAACACACAGUAGAGUGUAUAACUAAUGCUUGCUAAUGCGAACAUUAGUUAUACAUAGAGUGCAAAAGUCUACCAAACAAGGUAUUAAUAAUACACAUUAAAUUAAUGCAUACAUUAGUUUUUCAAUACACUCUACCAACGACCCCUAAAAGUGCAAAAAUUCAUGUCUAAAGUUUACAAUAUUUCCAAAUCUUUUCGCUUCAAGUUUGGCCUUGCAAGCCAAGACUUUCAACAAUUUUACUUGAAAUGGUAGAAUUAUGACAGUAGGAAAAUUUGGAUGUAUGAACUUAAGUCAUAUUUGACUGUACUUUAACUAUUAUACGAACUCCGGAUAUAAAUGUUAAAAGUUAAGCUUGCCAAAAGUUUUUAUCUUUAUGAUAUUCAACUUAAGUUAUAGUAGUUUCUUGAAGUUGUUAGCCAAUAUUUUUAAAAUAAUUUCAAUCAGUCAACUCAAAAACAAGCUGAUAAUCAGAAUAAAUUAAUUGCUUGAUUAUGAAAAUUGCUUUUCAUUAAAGAAAGUGAACAAAAAAUCGAUAUAAAUUAUUUGCGGUGAAAACAUAUAAUGCGUUGCUAGUGACUAGCACUUUACUAAAUGUCAUAUGUGUGCCAAUAUCCUAAAUUGUUAUACUACUUCGAUUCUCUUAUUAUUUUUUAUAAUUUGAAAAAAAAACUAAAAUAUAUUGAUAUUCUAUAUUUUUAUAGCAAAAUAUAUAAGAUACACAUGUUUUUAUGUAUCAAUCAACUUAGCAGUGAACACUAUUAUCUCAAUAGAGACGACAAUAAAUACCUGACAUACAUAUAUAACCCACAUACAACAUGUAUAUUUAGGUGUUGAUUUCCCCAUAUAUACAACAUACACAUCAAAUACACUUUACAUACCCUUCACAUAUAGUUGGUUGCACAUACAAUUUGAAAACAUACACAUUAGAUCUAAUUGACCGUACAUACAUUUCACAUCUUUACAUACAUAAAUACACAUCCAACUUCUACUUUAAAAACACAUUUUUUUUGUUUCUCAUCCGGUGUCCGGUACCCGCAUUAGAACCUCAACUAAUCCGAAUCGCGCGUUGCAGGACCCAUUAAGGUACAGAGGCAGAGCCAGCCCUCUUUAGCGGGUUCGUCCGAAUUUCCUUCGACGGAAAAAUAUCUUAUUUAUACAUAAUUACAAUUAUUUUUUAUGUGGUUAUAGUAGGUGUUGAUCUCCUUUCGACUUAGUUUUCUUUGAAUAUUAAAUCCCCUUACUUGAAAUCCUGAUUCCACCUCUAUUAAAGUGACAGCGCUCCCAACAAAAUUUUCUACACAUAUACAUUAUAAUUAAAAUCUGAUUUUAAAUCCAUGUGAUUUCAAUGAGAAUUAUAUUUUGUAUGCACUCAGAUACAAUAUGUUGGCACAGCCACCAAAGAUGACUCCGUCUUGGUCUUGUGGAAAAGAAAGCACGACUAGUCAAUCCUACCAACCCCUAACUAUUCUUCCUUGCACUUUCUUGAAUGGUUGUUACCUUUUGUCCAUUUUAAUGAACAUAUUUGAAUUAGAAAAAACAUCUUUUUUUUCGUGAACUUGUCCUCUCAAUUCACUUUAGCAUUUAAACUUAACUUUUAUUUAUUUAUCUCUUUAACAUCUUUAAAGUGAAUUAUUUCAACCCCUUAACAGCCAGCAUGUAAACAAGCGUUGCUGGGCGCGUAAAAACUCAUUUUUGUCUUUUUAAUUUCUUUUCUCUUUCUUUUAAAUACCCGUUUGAAUCCCCGGUUAUAUAUGCAUUUUUCUAUGAAAAAAAAUUCCUAAUUUAUCCUCCUUCUUCUUCAUCUUCAAUCCAAAAUUUCUUCAAUUCAUAAAAGUGAUGCAUAAAUUUGAGAUUAAAAAAACAUAAAAUCGAAUUGAUUUUAGCUUCGUCUCUUUCCGUAUUAAGGUAUAAUCUCAUUCAUAACUUUGUCUAUGUUUUAUUAGGAAUUAUUUUCAUAAUGAAUUUCUGAAUUACUUUGUUUAUCGUCUCCUUUAAUUUUGUUUCUAAAUUUUAUCUUAUUUGCUGAAAUGAAUUUCUUGUAGCACACAAUAAUGAAGUCAGUUAACUUGAGUAAACUAUGUAUGGAGGAAAAUGAUUCUGCUUUGAAGCAAGUUAUUCAUUGUAAUCACGGAAUUUUAUUGCAUUUGAAGACAUCUAGGACUUCAAGUAAUCUCGAUAGAAGGUAUUGGGCAUGUCCUUACUAUGGGGUAAAUAUCAAAUUUUACAUUUUCUCUUGUUAUUUUGACAGAAUUGAUUAAGAGAAAUGAGGUUAAUUCAUUCUUUAUUUGUCACCAUUGAAGGGUCCAAGAUCUUGCGAUUUUUGGCGUUGGAGGGAUUCAGAAGACAUUGAUCUGAGGUCCAAAUAUGUAAUUCCUAAACUAAUUAAAAAAUUAGAUGAACUUGAGAAUGUAGUUGAAUCUUGUCGUUUCAAUGAAGUUGAGAAAUUGAUUGGAUUGAGCAAAUCAAUCAUGGAAGGUUCAGAAAAAGUUGACAAGCCUAAAGAAUCCAAACAUGAUGAUAAUGGGAUUAAUAUGAAAUUAGAGAAGUUGGAAGAAGAGAUUCGAAAGAUCAAGGAGAAAGAAAAAAAUUGGAAACGAAUAGCUGAAGGAAGGACUAGAGACAAUACUCACUUCUUUGUUGUAUUUUUUUGCUGUAUAUUAGUAAUAGCUUCAAACUAUUUGGUUGGGAUGCUCUUUAUGAAAAAUGGUUCAAUAAGGUUACCUUAGCACUAGGUUGUUGUUAUAUGAUGUGUUGCAAAUUAUUGUGUUGAGUAGUGCAACUUCUUUUGUAUUUGGAUUCUCUUAUAUAUAUAUGAAGAAGAGAAAGAUUGUUAGAUGAAAUGAAUCAUGUUUAUUUAUCUUUUGUAAUGGUGCAACUUGUAUUUUUUUUUUUUUUUGAGUAUUUAUUGUUAAAUUGAUUGCAUUUGAAUCAUUUAGUAACCAAAAAAUAAGUGCAGGCAACAAAUUACAAUUUGAAGCUGCAAAAAGGUCAAAAUACAGCAGGCAUAACACAAUAGAAAUACAGUCACAACUGCUGAUAUUGCAACAGAAAUACUAGCCAAAAAAAUGCAAUCACAGCUGCUGAUAUUUCAACAGAAACAUUAGCUAAAAAAUGCAGUCACAGUUGCUGAUAUUUCAACAGAAACAUUAGUAAAAAAUAUAGUCACUACUACAUCAUUAUUUUCAAAACAUGUUAAAUUAGUACAGUCACAGCUGCAUAGUUGAAGUCACUACAAUUGAACUACUAGAUAAGUUAAAAUCACUACUGUUUCAUUACACACCAUCAAUACACAAAGAGAAAAACAUAAUUAGGCUUCUACUGAAAAGUUGUUGAACUUGUUUGGCUUAGAUGAUUCAAUUCAGCAACAUUUGACCUUGUCCUCAUUCUUUUCUGUGCUCUUAUGUCUUCAAGUCCUUGUUGGGUCACAACUUUCUUUCUUUUUCAUUUCACACCUGAGGUUGAUUUGUGAUGUCCAAGAUUUCCAGUCACUAUGGAGGAGUUCAUAGGCAUUCCAGGCUAACAAAAAUAAAAGAGAACAAAUUUAACUAAAGACUUGAAAAAGGUUUACUUUAAACUAGACAAAUAUAAUCAAGAAAUUUUAACUUACAUUGAGAAUUUUAAAACCACUCUCUGUAUAAAGCACCCCCAUUUCAAGCAUCCUAGGUCUUUUAUAAGUUGUCCCUCUACCUUUGCUAGCAUCAGUGACACCGUCUUCUCUUGAUGUACCAGCACAACCAACAUCACCAGCUCCUCUAUCUCUACCAGCUCCACCAACAACUGCAGGACCAACUCCUCUAUCUCUACCAGCUCUACCAACAACUGCAGCAUCAACUCCUCUACCUCUAUCAAUAGUACUGUCAACAGCACAAGAAGUUUUUUUUCCUCUAUCAACACCCAUAGUAGCAGCAGUUACUACAGGUAAUCCUCUUCCUCUACCGGUAGCUGCUGCUGCAGCCUACAACGCACAAGAAAAAAUAUAAUAAGAAUAAAAAAUGAAAGAAAAUAAAAGAGAAUUAAAAUAUUAGUAAAUUACAAGUCAAAUAUUACCUUUGUAGAUCCUUUUGGUCUUUCUCUCCCUCUACUUGUGCUUGGUGCUGCAGAAGAAGAACCCACACUAGUUCUAGUGGAACUUGAAUUCAAUGGACAACUCCUUUUAUUAUGACCCUUGUUGUGACAUGUGUUACAGGUCAUCUCAAUUCUACUUUUUGACAACUUUCCAAUCCUGUUUUCAUUUUGCUCUUUUUUUCAGAUUUAUCGGAUCUGCCUGAAAGUUUUUUUAUUGUAGGUGGUAUAACAGAAAGAUUGGUUGACUUGGACCACAUUUUUAUACCAGUAACAGGCUGAAUGAAGUAACUAUAAGUCUUGAGGUAAGUUUUCUUGGUAUACCAAUGUGCAACAUAGUUAAUGGGUUCUAGCUUUCUAAAGUAUAGUGCAGCUAUGGCAUGACAACAAGGUAUCCUUUUUAACAUUCAAGACGUACAUGUACAAGUAUUAUCCCUCAAAUUCACUUUAAAAGUAUUUAUUCAUCUAUACUUAACUUCAAAAUCAAAUUUACCAUUCCACUCAAGAGUACACUUCAUUGAUUUUGAUGUGUUAUCUUGCAACACUUUUAGUGCCAUAGGAGAAAUAUCAGUUAUCCAUAUUUCAGGAAACUGUCUCAACUGUCCUAUUCUUCUCAUCACCUUAGCCCUUAUUUUCUCAAACAUUGAUAUGAUAGUCUUGUAUCUUGGCCCUAGUAUCCAUGAGUUGAAGUUUUCAGCCAUGUUGUUGUCAACACUAUCACAGCAACUAUGAUAUUUGAAGUAAACCUUAGACCACCUUUCUAUUUUGUACCACAGAAGAUCUCCACAAAUUUUAUCUCCUAACAUCUCCAUAUGAUCUAAAUUUCUUCUCAAUUCUUGCUCAUAUGUAGAUUUGGCACACUUCUAAAAUUAGUUUCUUCUUUCAAUACCUCUCCAAUCCUUAGAUCAGUUGGCUAGAACAUGUUUAGCACACAUUCCCUGUUCUGCAUUUAGCAGUGAAUCUGAAAUUGCACUGUCAAAACCCUUGAACAAAAUAAAAUAUAUCAGUUGACAUAAGUAUAAAACAGGUGCAAAAUAAAAAAUUCAGAAAAUAAAUAAGAGAAAAUAAAUGAGGUUACCUUCUGCAUAUCAGUAAUAGUAGUCACUUCAGACCCAUCUCCCAGCUUAAGAUCAUUCCUCACAAGUCUAACAAACCAUCGUCAAGUGAAUUUGUUUUCAACUUCAACCACUGUCCAGGCUAGUGGUAGUAUCUGGUUAUUUCCAUCCUUACAAACAGCCACAAGUAAUUGACCCUUACAAAUACCUUUAAAAAAACAACCAUCAAACUCAAUACAUCUCCUGACACCAGCUUUGAAUUCUCUCUUCAAAGCAUCAAAACAUAUGUAAAAUGAUUGGAACUAUUUUCUUCCACCUUCAAAAGUUUCUCACUAAGCCUCACUACACAUGUACUAUGUGGAUUGGUCUUUAAAAGCAUUGGUCUUUAAAAGCUCAUUCCUAUAAUCCAAAAAUCUUUUGAACUCCUCUACAUGAUCACCCAUAAUUUGCUGCAACACAAUAUUUCUAGCUUUUCUUGCUACAGUUAUCCCUAUAUACACCUCCAAAUCAUUUUUAACUAACUCUUGAAACUGACAAACUCUAAUUACAAGUUCUAAUGUGAUUCUGUCACUGUACCUUUCUGUCAAGUACUUAGAAUUCACCAAUUUGUUCUUUGUUGUGGCAUUACACUUGUGGACUGGAAUGUACUUCUUAACUUGAAAAUCUGUAGUCCCAGAAUUAGUGCUUGCAAACAACAACCAUGGACAACCAUCUACACACUUUACUCUCACCCUUUUUUGGUUCAUUCACAAACUUAUCUAGCUCUACAUGUUCUUGAACAACAUAUCUAGUAAAAGCUUUUCUAAACUCUCCAACAUUUGUAAAACAAAGUCCUCAUUUCUAGCAGCAACACCAACAUCAUCAAAGUCUCUACUACUAGCAAAAAAAUCACUACUACCCCACCUAAGCUCUCACCCCUAGCAGGAACACCACCAUCACCUAAGCCCCCACCAACAGCAGAAACACCAUCACCACAACUAUCUAAGUCCUUACCAAUAAAAGAAACACUAUCAUCACCACCUAGGUCUUCACUCCUAGCAGUACCAUCACCACUCAAGCUUUCAGUAAAAGUAGGUUCAUGAGGUAUUGCAGCUUCUACAAAGUUCUCUUCAACCUAAAUUAUCACAGUCUCCUAAGUCUUCACUCAACUCUUUAUCAAAAGUAGGACAAGAUUCUCCUCCCAUAUGGGGUCAUAUUCAAUAGAUGGGACCACAUCAGCCUCAUCAACUAAAUGUGUUAAAUAUAACUCAACAACAUCUCCAUUUUUAAGUUGAGGUAAAAUACCCAAAAUGUCCCUAUCACAUGUUACUAUUACUAAUUUUUUUCUUUUGGGAGGUCUGAGAUAAAUAAUACACGAGAAACAAUUAUACCCAAUUUCCUUCACGACAUCAAUAAAUUCAAAGUAAGAAAGUCUAUCUGCAUCCGAAUCGAAACAGUCAGUAAUAGUACCUCCAUGAUACUUAAUACGAGGUUUUUGUUGUAAUUUGCCUCCAUGGUGAAACCUCAAUGUAACAUACACAAAAUUCAUGGUUAAUCUGAAGAAAAGUAAAAAAAAAAAAAAGAGUUUAGAAUUUAUUCAGGACAAAAACCCUAAUAUCAAAGUAAAACAACCUUAAUAAUCACCUAACUAGUCAAAUUUCGUCAUGGAGCAACACAGAAAUCAUAAAAAAUCACAGAAAUAACCUAAUUUGAAGUGAAAUCGGGUGAAACUGAAAGGUUUUAGAGAGAAAAAGGUGAAAUGAGUUAUUAUUUAGGUUUUGGGGUAUUUGAUAAGAGUGGGUCGGGUUAUAAACGAGAAUGGGUCGGGUUAUAACAUCAACCAAUCAAAGGGCGCGUGCUUAACAACACCCAACCUUGACUUGGAUUAGGCUGUUAAGGGGUUGAAAUAAUUUACUUUAAAGAUGUUAAGAAGGGUAAAUAAACGAAAGUUAAGUUUUAGUGUUAAAGUGAGUUGGGAGGAUAAGUUUAGGGGGGGGGGGGGGAAUGUCUUUUCUCUAGGAUAGAUAAUAUAUUUUUAUGGUAAUAUAAUGUUAUACAUAAGUAAUUCAAAGGAUAAAUUUAUAUUUUUAUCUUUUUAAAAAAGAAUAAAUUUAUGAGAAAAAUAUGAUACAAAUAAAAUUAUUAUAUGAGAUAGAGUGAAGAAUAGUAUAAAAUAAUUAAUAGAUAAUAAGUAACGAUAAAAUGAGAAGAAAAAAAAUAAGAUAAUGAUGCUAUCACAUUAAAAUGACCAUGUUAUUGUUAAUUAAUGAGAAGAUAAAACCAGAAGAAAGAAAGAUAAUGAUGCUACCACAUCAAAUUAAUCGUUUCAUCAUUAAGUAACACUAACAUUAAUGAUAGAUAAAAGGGCAACUAGACCUACUAAAACUCUCACUAUGUACAAGAUUCGAAAGUAUAUCAAGCGAUAACGAUCCAUUAUAUAUAGUGUUAUCCUAUAUUUUUAUAAAAAGGUGUUUUCAAACUUCGAAUAAGUAAUCUUUCAAUCACAUGACAACGAUUUCACGGCUACUCCAACUCUCUUCUUCAAAUAAACGAUAAUGUAAUAAAAUAUUGUACUUUCUUCGUCACAUUUUAUGUAUCGUCCUUUUCUUUUUGAUUCGUCCCAAAAAGAAUGUCAUCUUUUCUUAUUUGGUAACUACUUAAUGGCAUAACUCUUAUUUUAUCCUUAGUAGAUCCCACUUUAUAAGAAAAUUUUUGCAAACUUUACAAAAUCAUUAUUUAUUUGUUAAAUUUCAUGUCCGAUCAAAUAACGAGACGAAUGGAGUAUUUAAGUAGCCGUUUGAACAUAGAAAUUUUUUCCUUUUUUCCAAAAAAUUAUUUCAUUUUUGUGAGAAAAAAUGAAAACAUGCACCGUUUCCAUUUGGCCAUGAAUUUUUCAACUCCAACUUUGAAAAAUUAUUUGGAAAAGUGAAAACAAGUUUUACUUCUCUCACAAAAUUUUAAAAACAAUUUGAAUUUAUAUUCAUGAUAAAACACAACUCCAACUUGAACUUCAACUUCAAUUAAAGGUAAUUUUCACCAAACUGGGCCUGAGUUGCAAUACAAGUAGUAACAAAAUCCAAACAAGUACUAGUAUUUAGCAAGCUACCAGUCAAACAUGGACAUUUUGUGUAGGAAUGAAAUGUAAGCUCCCCAACAAGUUCCAUGUCACUUCCAAUUCAUCAAUAAACCCAUCAAACACACACAUUCUCACUACACACACACACAACUCCACUUCCAUUUCCCCCAAUUCACUAUCCCCUAACAAAAAAUGGAAAAUUCAAGCCAAGAAUCCCAUCUCCGAUCCGAAAACUCCGUCACAUACGACUCGUCCUACCCCAUCUACGCCCUCGCCUUUUCCUCCUUCACCUCUUCUCUUCCCAACCGCCGCCGCCACCUCGCCAUCGGCAGCUUUAUCGAAGAAUUCAACAACCGCGUCGACAUUCUCUCCUUCGACGAAGACAGCCAUACCCUUAAACCCAUUCCAAAUCUCUCUUUCGAUCACCCUUAUCCGCCCACGAAGCUCAUGUUCCAUCCGAAUCCUUCUGGGUCUCUCAAGUCGAACGACGUGCUAGCGUCCUCUGGUGAUUAUCUCCGGCUCUGGGAAGUUCGGGAGACUUCUGUAGAGCCGCUUUUCGCUUUUAAUAAUGCGAAGACGAGUGAGUAUUGUGCUCCGUUGACGUCUUUUGAUUGGAAUGAAGUGGAGCCUAGAAGAAUUGGGACUUCGAGUAUUGAUACUACGUGUACAAUUUGGGAUGUUGAGAAAGGGGCUGUGGAGACACAGUUGAUUGCCCAUGAUAAAGAGGUUUAUGAUAUUGCUUGGGGUGAAGCUGGGGUUUUUGCUUCGGUUAGUGCGGAUGGAUCGGUUAGGAUUUUCGAUUUGAGGGAUAAGGAGCAUUCGACGAUUAUUUAUGAGAGUCCACAACCGGAUACUCCGUUGUUGAGAUUGGCGUGGAACAAGCAAGAUUUGAGGUAUAUGGCUACUAUAUUGAUGGAUAGUAAUAAGGUUGUGAUUUUGGAUAUUAGGUCUCCGGCAAUGCCUGUGGCAGAGUUGGAAAGGCAUCAAGCGAGUGUGAAUGCGAUUGCUUGGGCUCCGCAGAGUUGUAGACAUAUUUGUUCUGCUGGUGAUGAUGGGCAGGCGCUUAUUUGGGAGUUGCCUACUGUUGCAGGGCCUAAUGGGAUUGAUCCUAUGUCAAUGUACUCUGCUGGAGCUGAGAUUAAUCAAAUUCAGUGGUCUGCUGCGCAGCGUGAUUGGAUUGCCAUUGCCUUUUCCAACAAGUUGCAGCUGCUUAAAGUAUAAGGCGAUUGGCUGAUUGAAUUUUUCGUGUAAGAUAACUACUACUACUACUACUGCUUUAGUAUGUCUUUUUCUCCGUUGUGGAAAAGGGGUUGGAGCUUACAUGUUAUUGUGUGUCCUUUUUGGACUGCUUGACCGUGUUAUAUAUUUAGAUAGUUAUUUUGUCUGGCGAAAGAACAAAACAGGAAUGCUGAUUCAGUAAUUCCGAGUAAUUAUGAGAUCCUGCCGAUUGUUGUUUGUGGUAGAUAAUGUAUUAAUGAGUUAUUGAAUGAAGGAUGCCUGUUUAUGUGAUUUCACUUCUUGAUGUAGUUCGUGUAUAGAAAUAAAGUUUACACUGUAUCUGUUGAGUUAGGGAAAUUAACCUAUAUUGUGAUGCAAGAUGUGAAAUUUAACUCAGAGAAACUAGAAGCACACUUGAACUAGCUACUCGUUGAUGUGACUUCUUAACCAAUUGUUGGAUCAUCACACAUAUUUAGCAUUUAGUUAUGCUCUAUAGAAACAUUUUCAUAUUAAGUAAUAUGGUUUUGAAUGAUAUUAAUGACAAACGUGCUUCAACAUUAUGAAUAGAAGAACAAAGGCAGUACAUUCUUUGAUUACAUGAUGUCAUCAUUGUUUCCCACUUAUGCCUGAGUUUCUAUAUUUGGAUGGAUCAGUGGCAACCUAUUGGUGGAAAAUUCUACAUGCUUUAAAUCUGAACUCUCAACAUAUACUUCUAUGUACUAGCAUAGACGAUCCUGCAAAGUGGAAAAAAGAUUGAGCACAUGACUUGGUUGAUGAUACUUCCAAUUAUGUGGAAUAACCGAGCGAUAAAGUUUUUAUUGAGGAUCUUAAAUUUUGAAGCUUUAUUCAAGAUUUAACAUAAAAUAAUAUAACUGCAUCUUUUGAGUAUUCACUUCACAUCACUCCUGAUAUCCAUAAAAGAGCCUUAGGAUUCACAGUGGAAAAUAACAUGUCCAUUAUUAAUCAUAUUAGAAAAUAUUCUUAUUGAGGAAAAAGAAACUAAUAAAUGCAGCUCGAACAUCAAAGUGACAAAUUCUUCUCAAAAAAAUAUAGUAAAUAUUUAUUUGAGAUGUGAAAAGGCUAGAACAAGGAGGAAGCUAGAUAGUGAAUCAUGGCCAUGUUAUUUUUCAUUAGCAGAUGAUGAGUAGAAAAUCAAGAAAAGAAGAUAACUGUGAGCUAAUUGAUUAAUAGUACAAGUUAAUUACUCCCAAAAGGAUUAAGAGGCGUUGAAAAGUUCAGAGUACACUUCCAUGAAAAACUUAUCAACUAUUUCAACAUAAGCCGGGCAAGUGAGACGUGAGUAGUAAUAAAGAACUUGUUCAAUAUCCAAAGCGUGCUGAUCUUCGUAAUUCUCUAACAUUUUCAAUUCCUGUAGCUUUUGAGCCACCAAAUAACUCCUUUCCUCUCUUCUCGGGUCUUGAUAUUUCUUCUUUCUUUCAUAUGUGAUUAUCUCCUUCCUCUUUAAAUCAUCCUUCAAGCCAACAACUUGAUGAUAAUUGCCCUUUCUCCUAACUUCAUUUUCCUUUGCUGGUGGAGACAUUGUUAUUGUUUUCUUCUUCUUCUUCUUGUGUCUGUCCCCAUGCACGUAAAAUUUGUCAAGCUCUGUGUAGCUUUGGCUGAAAUUAGUAUUGGCUCCGCCAGCAUAACAUGGAGGGCUUUUGGGGAUCUUUUGAUAUCCACCGGAGAAUAUAUAUUUGACACUGUCAAGGGUUUUCUGGAAGAGCUUUUUGGUAGUGGAGAUGGAGGUUUUUAGAAACAUUAUUGUUAUGUAACUGAUUAAUUCUUGCUAGGUCUGUCUUUCUUGUUCUGAUCUUGAAAAUGUUCUCCAGAGAGAUAAAAAUAGAAGACAAUAAUGGAAGUCGAUCAUUUAAGUACAAUAGAAAGGAGAAUAAGAAAUGAUAGUAAAGGAAAGACAGAAAGUUUAAGCUUUCUCUUUUUAUGAUUCACUAUNNNNNNNNNNNNNNNNNNNNNNNNNNNNNNNNNNNNNNNAAAGCUUGAUAUUCCCUACUAUUAUUACUAUUGGAAGAAAGGUAAUGAGUACCGUUUAAUUAAAACUAAUUCCUAUAAAAUAUAGUUUCAUUACUUUUACUUUACAGAGUGGGGGUUGGUGUGUUGCCCUCAAGGAAUGGUGGUGGUUGAAAACUUCCAAAUGUAUCUUCUCUCCUUCUAAAUUAAUGAACACAACAACAACUUAGUUUGCUCACUUGUUUAUGUCAAUUUGAUGUGAACUUCCAAAUGUAUUACUACCAUAUUCUUUCUUAUUUUUUCCUUUUCCUUUUCCCUUUCUCCUUUUCUUUUCCUUAUUUCUCACAUCAAUCAAUAAUUCUAUUAUACAAGUAGCACAAUAUUAUUAAAAAGUAGCAAUUAAUUUUUAAAUGUAUCUAUUUAAAUUAUAUAAAUAAAUAUUUUAUCUGAAAUGUGUUGUCGUCUGUUGUAACACCUGAUCUUUUUUAACAAAAAAAAUAACUUCAGUUUGAAUCUCGAAAUUCCAACUAUUCCAGGUAAAUUGAGCCAAAUUGGAUAAUUAAAAAAAUUGUAAAUCUCUAUACAUUAGCUUUAAUUUAUAGAAGUAUUGGGUUUCUCCUCCUGCUAAUUUAUUUUAGUUUUAAAAUGCUUACUUGAGGACGAAUUCUACCAACAAACAUAUUGAUAAGUUGAUUGAAAUCAUUAACCAACCAGAAAAUUUAAGAAGUGCCAUGAUUAUUAACUAUAUUUAUACAGUGUCAUAUGCCCUUCAUAUAUUCUGUAUCAAGACUUGAAACUGAUAUUCUUUUUCGUGAAAUGUUGUCAAAUUUGACUUAAAGUGGGACUAGGUAUUGUCCUCAUAGCUGUUUCAAUGUUGCUGUAAAAGUAAUUGUCACUGUAGUGUGUAGGUUCAGUGAUUGCAGGAAAACCUUCAACUACAGGAGGAAGUGUAACUUGAUGAGUUCCUCGCAAUUCUGCAGUGUAGGAGCUAUACGUUUGGAUAUUAGUUUGUGCAGUAGCAUCUCUUAUAAUCUUAGGUAACUGUCUGGAUUGAAAAUUUCAACUUUGUCUGGUGCAGUAUACUGAUUCAUCUUCAUUUUAGCCAUCCUGGAUCAUAUUAAUGUUUGAUAGAUUCGAUUGUUGCUUGCUAAGAUUGUAUUUGUUCUACAUGGAGCUUCUGUGGAAAAAUCUUUUCUUUAUGUAGAAUUCGGCUUUUCAUCUGUUGAAAGAAAUGGAUUAUAAUUGGUGGGAAAGAUAUAAAUUAGAUGCAUGAUUAUUUUUUAGUUUGAAGGAUAGAUACAUGAUUUGUUUUUAGUUUGAAGGCCCAACCUGGAAAUUGGUGGCUUCGUUUAGAGUUUUGUCUUGGCAAUUCUUUUUUUCUUUUUACUUAAUAAGCGUAACAGUUUAGUUUACUUUCUUUUCGAGUUGAUCUCUCUCCUGGUUUCAUUAUCAAAUCUCAAAGAGGAUUCCUGAUGUGUAGCUCACAGAGGUUUUGGAUACCACACAGCCAAGCGUUAGAGCUCCAGUGUAGCUAGGUUGAUCAAAGCCCUUAAUGUUGUGCCUUGCCUCUUUGAGAAACAUCGUCUUCAAACAUUUUUUAUGUCUUUUCUAUCAGUUGCGGUAAACACAAAAUCAGAUGAAAUACGAUUCAGUGGUAAAAUUGAACUGCCAUGUUGAUUGAAGAUUAUACAUGCAGACUGACUGAAUUCCCAUUUCUUGACAUGCAAUGAAGGUAGAUUGGAGAUGAGCAAUCUUGUAAAGUUUCUUUGAAUGUAAAACAAGUGUCAUUCUUUGCUGUUAUGACUUCUCUGUAAUUCAUUUAACAGUUUAUUUUAGAACAGAGCCAUAAAUCUGCUGCUACAGAUUUAAUUUUUCUUGCAGAAUCAAUAAAACUAUUAUACAGCAUAAUGACAUUAUAUAGAUAGUAGUAACAUUUAUUUGUGGAAAACUACAAAUACAUUGUUUUAUGUAGUUUGUCAAUAAUUACAUACGUAGUUUUCUUGUAGAAUGACACUAUAAAGAGAUACUUAGGAGUACAACAGCAUAAUAAAUUACUGUACAUUUUACAUAAUAAAAAUCUAUAACUACCAAUAAAUACUACUCCCUCCUUUUCGUUUUAGUUGAUCCUAUUUCUAAAAAUAUUUGUUUCAAUUUAAUUAUUCCUUUGGCAAAAUCAAGAGGAUUUUAUUAUAUUCUUUCAACAUUACCUUCAACAUUAAAUGACUAAAUAAAGUAUAUUUAUUGAAUUUGUAUUUUCAAUACACAAUUAAUAGGGUUAUUUUAGUAAAAUAGGCCUCUAUUAAAUAAUUUUUUAAGGAGAUCAAUUAAAACGAAAUGGAGGGAGUAUAUAACUAAGUCAACAUCUUUACAUGUUCAUACGAGAAGGAAUUCAACUAUUUUGUCAGCAUGUAAUAAUAAUAAUUUAUCAUUUAAUCAAACACUGAAUUUGGUUUAACGUCAAUUGUCAUUUUUCAUCAACAUGUUCUUUUUGUCGGUUGAUUGACACAGCACAACACAUCACUUAAACUAAUAAAAUAAAAGUUUGAAAAAUCAAAAUUGGGCGUGUGUUAUAAAAUAAAGACUAAAUAUUAAUAUUAAACUUUAUUUAAUAAAGGAGAGAAUUAGAGAGAAUUUUAGUAGUAUAUUUGUUAUUACUACUUAUGUAUAAAUAAAAUGUAAAAAUGGUGCCUAUUUAUAUAGAUGCCAUACUUAGUCUCUAAGUAUACCAAUUUGACUUCAAGUUGGUAAGUUGGUCAUAACUAAAAUGUACAAAUGGCGCCUAUUUAUAGUUAGUUUUUAAGUACAUCAAUGUUGACUUCAAGUUGGUAAGUUGGUCAAGUUUGUAUGUAUUCAAAUCCAAAUUGAAUACCAACUUUUAGUAUUCAAAUCCAACUUGAAUACCAACUUUGGUCUUCAAAUCCAAUUUGAAUAUCUACUUUGGUCUUCAAAUCCAAUUUAAAUACCAACUAUUAUUUCGAAUAUCUACAAUAGUGUAGUAUAUUAACAUCAUUAUUUACAAUAGUGUGAAUAAUCUAGGUGUCUUAUAUUCAGGCUAAAUGCACCCACCCUAAUUCGUAUGAAACUUUAAUCACUUUCACAAACUGAAAAUAAGUGUUCCUUCAGGACCAAUCAAUUUUCAAAACUAAGGCAAAAGCAUUAUAUAUAAAAUGUGUUUUAUUAUUAAGUUUUAGUGUUUACCUAAGGUUGUUCCGAGUCUCUUUCUGGUUAGAGUUUUAUAUGUCCAUAGAAUGUAUAAAGAAUUUCUACGAAUACAUAAAAUGUUUCUUUGGAUAAUAUCAAACUGAGAAAAGCUUAAACGUAGCGACAUGAACCAUAAAGAUUCAUAGAGCCAAGAUUUAGUUUUAUAGUUUAUUAUAAAUGAUGUAAUAGCUAAGGAUUUUUUUUCCAUAGGAGAUCAGUAAAUAAUAGUAUAAAUAACAUAAAUACCAAUCCUUUUGGAAGUAAUUACAUAUUCGUGUAAUUUUUAGUAAAUAAAACACAUUACAUUUUUGUUGGAUCAUUUUCUUCUAGUCAAGUAGAAAGUUACAAUCCGCUUGGACAAUGAUUUCAUAUUACGUACUAAUUUGAAAUGAGAUUGAUUUAGUGUUGAAAUUUAUUUGGACAUGUAAUUUGAUUUUCUUAAGUUGUAUUUUUUUUUUCACAAAUAUGAAAACUUCACAAUUUGUGAAAACUAUCAAAAUUUCUUCAACUCUUAUAUUAUUUUAUUAAAUGAGCAAAUCAUAGUUCAUAAACAAGCUGUUGAAAUAUCAUGAGAUGCUGAAAUAAUAAAUCAUAUAUCUUCAUGUAUUUUUUAUAAAUAAAUAUUUGCAAUUACGUAUUACUAUUACAAACUUUGAAAUAUUCGCAAUGUCACAAAGAUUUACUAAUGCAAUAAAUUAACAAUAGGAGUAACUAACUAUUCUUUAAUAUAAUCCUCCCACAUGAUGUGCAUACACCCAACCUCUUUGUGUCGAACAUAAGUAUUGUUUUACAAAAUUUUAAAUCAUGAAUCUUCUUUUUGCAAAAUAUAAAUUUAUGAGUCAAACUUUAUAUUUUACAAAUUAAAAUCAUAAUAUAAAAUUUGAAAUCCUACUUCUUGGAGAAUUUGUAAUUUAAACUUUUUCUAAA
Molecule: long non-coding RNA, 34391 nt
Filed under: Capsicum annuum
Lineage: Eukaryota; Viridiplantae; Streptophyta; Magnoliopsida; Solanales; Solanaceae
Description: long non-coding RNA (CANN_LNC004344)
Source: RNAcentral